UGCAUAUCAAAAAGCGGAGGAAAAGAAACCAACAGGGAUUGCCUCAGUAACGGCGAGUGAAGCGGCAAAAGCUCAAAUUUGAAAUCUAGCACCUUCGGUGUUCGAGUUGUAAUUUGAAGAUGGUAACCUUGGGUUUGGCUCUUGUCUAUGUUCCUUGGAACAGGACGUCAUAGAGGGUGAGAAUCCCGUCUGAUGAGAUGCCCAUUCCUAUGUAAGGUGCUAUCGAAGAGUCGAGUUGUUUGGGAAUGCAGCUCUAAGUGGGUGGUAAAUUCCAUCUAAAGCUAAAUAUUGGCGAGAGACCGAUAGCGAACAAGUACAGUGAUGGAAAGAUGAAAAGAACUUUGAAAAGAGAGUGAAAAAGUACGUGAAAUUGUUGAAAGGGAAGGGCAUUAGAUCAGACUUGGUGUUUUACGAUUAUCUUCUCUUCUUGAGUUGUGCACUCGUAUUUCACUGGGCCAGCAUCGAUUCGGAUGGCAAGAUAAUGGCAGUUGAAUGUGGCUUCACUUCGGUGGAGUGUUAUAGCUUCUGCUGAUAUUGCCUGUCUGGAUCGAGGGCUGCGUCUUUUGACUAGGAUGCUGGCGUAAUGAUCUAAUGCCGCCCGUCUUGAACCACGGACCC
This 618-nucleotide ribosomal RNA is filed under the name Hansenula anomala. Its description in RNAcentral is "eukaryotic LSU rRNA". It matches the Rfam family "Eukaryotic large subunit ribosomal RNA", at positions 37 to 668 of the family's 3401-position model. The record is from RNAcentral. Lineage: Eukaryota; Fungi; Ascomycota; Saccharomycetes; Phaffomycetales; Wickerhamomycetaceae.